UGGCUCAGGAUGAACGCUGGCGGUAUGCUUAACACAUGCAAGUCGAACGGUGUCUUCGGACAUAGUGGCGGACGGGUGAGUAACGCGUGAGAAUCUGGCUUCAGGUCUGGGACAACCACUGGAAACGGUGGCUAAUACCGGAUGUGCCGAGAGGUGAAAGAUUAAUUGCCUGAAGAUGAGCUCGCGUCUGAUUAGCUAGUUGGAAGUGUAAUGGACUCCCAAGGCGACGAUCAGUAGCUGGUCUGAGAGGACGAUCAGCCACACUGGGACUGAGACACGGCCCAGACUCCUACGGGAGGCAGCAGUGGGGAAUUUUCCGCAAUGGGCGAAAGCCUGACGGAGCAAUACCGCGUGAGGGAGGAAGGCUCUUGGGUCGUAAACCUCUUUUCUCAGGGAAGAACACAAUGACGGUACCUGAGGAAUAAGCAUCGGCUAACUCCGUGCCAGCAGCCGCGGUAAUACGGAGGAUGCAAGCGUUAUCCGGAAUGAUUGGGCGUAAAGCGUCCGCAGGUGGCAAUGUAAGUCUGCUGUUAAAGAGUCUAGCUCAACUAGAUAAGAGCAGUGGAAACUACAUAGCUAGAGUACGUUCGGGGCAGAGGGAAUUCCUGGUGUAGCGGUGAAAUGCGUAGAGAUCAGGAAGAACACCAGUGGCGAAGGCGCUCUGCUAGGCCGUAACUGACACUGAGGGACGAAAGCUAGGGGAGCGAAUGGGAUUAGAUACCCCAGUAGUCCUAGCCGUAAACGA
RNAcentral lists this ribosomal RNA (745 nucleotides) under cyanobacterium cWHL-24. Its description in RNAcentral is "bacterial SSU rRNA". It matches the Rfam family "Bacterial small subunit ribosomal RNA", at positions 20 to 809 of the family's 1533-position model. Lineage: Bacteria; Bacillati; Cyanobacteriota. The record is from RNAcentral.